GAUGAACGCUGGCGGCGUGCCUAAUACAUGCAAGUCGAACGCUGAAGCUUGGUGCUUGCACCGAGCGGAUGAGUUGCGAACGGGUGAGUAACGCGUAGAUAACCUGCCUCUUAGCGGGGGAUAACUAUUGGAAACGAUAGCUAAUACCGCAUAAUAUUUGACACCGCAUGAUGCUGACUUGAAAGGCGCAAUUGCUUCACCUAGUAAUGGACCUGCCUUGUAAUUGCCAGGUGGUUAGGUAACGGGUCAACAAGGCGACGAAAGCGUACCGGCCUGGGAGGGUGGACGGCCAACCUGGGACUGGGACACGGCCCAGACUCCUACGGGAGGCAGCAGUAAGGAAUCUUCGGGAAUGGGGCCAACGCUGACCGGGCAACGCCGGGUGAGGGAAGGAAGGUCUCGGGUCGGAAAACUCUGUUGAAAGGGAAAGAAGAGAGUGGGAAUGGAAAGUGCACAUUGUGACGGUAACUUAUCAGAAAGAGACGGCUAACUACGUG
Molecule: ribosomal RNA, 497 nt
Filed under: uncultured bacterium
Lineage: Bacteria
Description: partial 16S ribosomal RNA
Rfam family: Bacterial small subunit ribosomal RNA
Source: RNAcentral